UGUGUAUGUGCUGAUUAGGCAGUGUAUUGUUAGUUAGCUGUUGUUCACAUACCAGCAACUAAAUACAUUUCCACAUUAGCACAUGACCUUGCA
RNAcentral lists this microRNA precursor (93 nucleotides) under Chelydra serpentina (North American snapping turtle). Its description in RNAcentral is "mir-449d". It matches the Rfam family "mir-449 microRNA precursor family". Lineage: Eukaryota; Metazoa; Chordata; Testudines; Chelydridae. The record is from RNAcentral.